This 31-nucleotide non-coding RNA is filed under the name Mus musculus (house mouse). Lineage: Eukaryota; Metazoa; Chordata; Mammalia; Rodentia; Muridae. The record is from RNAcentral.
UAAUAACAGGCACAACUACAGUUUUGAUGGC